CUCAUUAUAUAAGUUAUCGUUUAUUUGAUAGUACCUUACUACAUGGAUAACCGUGGUAAUUCUAGAGCUAAUACAUGCUGAAAAUCCCGACUUCGGAAGGGAUGUAUUUAUUAGAUACAAAACCAAUGCCCUUCGGGGCUCUCUUGGUGAUUCAUGAUAACUUCUCGAAUCGCACGGCCCCGCGCCGGCGAUGGUUCAUUCAAAUUUCUUCCCUAUCAACUUUCGAUGCUACGGUAUUGUCCUAGCAUGGUUGCAACGGGUGACGGAGGGUUAGGGCUCGACCCCGGAGAAGGAGCCUKAGAAACGGCUACUACAUCCAAGGAAGGCAGCAGGCGCGCAAAUUACCCAAUCCCGACUCGGGGAGGUAGUGACGAUAAAUACCGAUACAGGGCUCUUUUGGGUCCUGUAAUUGGAAUKAGUACAAUUCAAAUCCCUUAACGAGGAACAAUUGGAGGGCAAGUCUKGUGCCAGCAGCCGCGGUAAUUCCAGCUCCAAUAGCGUAUAUUAAAGUUGUUGUGGUUAAAAAGCUCGUAGUAGAAGCUCGGGCUCCGGCCGACCGGUCCGCCUCACCGCGUGCACUGGUUCGGCCGGGCCUUCACCUUCUGCGGAACCGCAUCCCCUUCACUGGGGGUGUCGGGGAAACAGGACGUUUACUGUUAAAAAAUUAGAGUUCUCCAGGCAGGCCUAUUCUCGAAUAGAUUAGCAUKGAAUAAUGGAAUAGGACGUGUGGU
This 731-nucleotide ribosomal RNA is filed under the name Monographella sp. BB1-5-20. Its description in RNAcentral is "SSU rRNA". It matches the Rfam family "Eukaryotic small subunit ribosomal RNA", at positions 97 to 846 of the family's 1831-position model. The record is from RNAcentral. Lineage: Eukaryota; Fungi; Ascomycota; Sordariomycetes; Amphisphaeriales; Hyponectriaceae.